AUUGUAGCUCCCAUUCGCAUAGCGUUCACUGUUCAGAAGUAAAUGAUUGCAUAAAAUAUAAAUGGCAUUAAAGCAGAUAAACUUUGUGCUGAGAGAAUUACCCAAAAUAGUUCUUUUCCGGCUGCUGCAGUAGCAUGGUGAAAUUCAAUCGCUCCCUGAGCAUUUGGGCCACCUGGAAGUCCACGCCAGUGACGCUCGUCAGCAAACCGGACUUUGCAUCGAAUUCCGGGCGAGUGUAGACGGACUUAAACAUCUGAAUCCGCAGUGGAUAGCCAGCCAUGUCGCGGAAGAGCAGUUUAUCCAGAGUCUCCGAGCCGAAAUAUCGCACCAAUCGUCCAAAGGCGGAAUCGUGUCGCUUGAAAGGAUCAUAGAUCCAAAUACCGUCUCUGGUUAGGAAAAAGCGAUUGUAGAUUUUGUGCUGCAUCCACAACUCUCGACAGCUGCCCUCCAAACGAAGUUGUUCAUCGAGUGAAAGGUCCUUGUCUUGAUUCGCCAGGAUGUAAAAGAAUGUACUGGCUUUCUGAAUCGGUGCAGCCGCUCCGCGAUUGGUCAAAAGUAGAUCUAAACUCAUCACCAUCACUAGAUUUUUCCCACCAAAAGGAACGUCCAUCCAAUAGCGAUUUUCCUGGUAUGUGACAAUGCUCAGCGGCAUUUCCAUACGAUGCAAAAACCACCGGACAUAGGGAUUCUCCACGUCGUGAUGGUCAAAACCCGCGCGCAGCCAAAGUUCCAGCUGGUGCAAAUCCCGAGUGGGUUCCACCAGCAGUCCAUCCAGCUGGGUCAAGUUCAGUCCUUUGUCCAGAAUGAGGAGCAGCAAAAGCGAUCCAAGCACCGCCAUUCGUUCGGCGUUUGUUAGCACAAAUGACUGGAGAAGUUGGCCAGUAUCUAUUCCAAUCCCAUCCACCACCUAAAUCGGCCAAUUCCUGUUUUGACACCUGUGAUUUUGUUUGUUUGCCCGCUCACAAUUAGAGACUCGUUAUGUCAGCUGUCUGGGGUCGUCCAGCUCUUAAGCAAACAUUAUUAUUAUACCCUGCCAUUGGUGGGGUUGGCUACCAGGGCGUCUCUUUCUUGGAGUCACCAUUUAGAUCCUAAAUCUAGAUCACAAGUCCCUGAACAAUAGCAGUGCAAAUAUUUACAACAUGAUUUAAGAGCUCAACGUUAGAGCUUAACUGGAGAAAUAAUUUAAUCUUUGAUUUAACAACUCGAUUCAUUAUAGCUAAAUUUGUAGGUGACUGAGAGCAGUCUUCGUUAUUGCAGGAUAUCGGGCCACCUUUGUAUCCUCUAUUCCCAUUGUUGUGCUUUUUCAUUCAUGGCCAAAUCAAGUAGACUCACCUGAACACGGAAAUCAAAAUAGAAGCCGAGGGGAAACUCGACGACGAUUUUUCCCACAGCGAGAUUUUCCGCUGGUCAAGCUAAGCGAAGCGACAGUUAUACAGUGAGAAGAGCUCAAAAUAACGCACUAAUUCACUAGCUUCCACUAAAAAGUUUCGUGUUGAACUCGCCGUUUCCUUGUUCAGGACCCCAUCGGCCGUAUACACAACAUAUAUAUUGAUAUUCAUGCAGUGCCACUUGUAUAUGGACACCGAGUGCCCAAGUGCCCGAUGUCCGAUAACCGCUGGCUGUUGGCUGUUGGCUGUUAGAUGGUAGAGCAACAAAAAGCAUCAAUAAACUUCGUCUUGGGUAGUUUUCAAAAUGAAAAAUAAAUUGCAAAAUUGAAAAAGCAA
Molecule: long non-coding RNA, 1724 nt
Organism: Drosophila yakuba
Lineage: Eukaryota; Metazoa; Arthropoda; Insecta; Diptera; Drosophilidae
Exons: 3
Source: RefSeq, a predicted model, not a curated record